Molecule: unclassified non-coding RNA, 324 nt
Filed under: Hevea brasiliensis (rubber tree)
Lineage: Eukaryota; Viridiplantae; Streptophyta; Magnoliopsida; Malpighiales; Euphorbiaceae
Source: RNAcentral
AAAAAAUGCAUCUUUCACUGCUGGAUAGAGGAAGGGACUUGGUACCUGCCUAGGGCGUGUACUAUUUUGAGUCAAAGUGCUACCCCUAGUGGAACAUGCCAAAAUGUCUCACAUCAUACUCUCUUGCUUGGAGAAACUCGCUCUCGAGUUGAAAUUCUUCCACACCAUUUUUCCCUAUUUGGAAUAAAUCAUUCCUUGAAUUUUGAAGUGAAAAGAGAAUGAUAAUUUUCAUUGGAAGAGUACCCAAUAUAGUCCUCUUGGAUGAGAUCAAUAAGAUGGACCUGAACAAAGUGAAUUUAAGAAGCUUCAUGUUUUCCUUUGUAU